RNAcentral lists this unclassified non-coding RNA (392 nucleotides) under soil metagenome. RNAcentral describes it as "partial contains 5.8S ribosomal RNA, internal transcribed spacer 2, and large subunit ribosomal RNA". The stretch from base 1 to 122 matches the Rfam family "5.8S ribosomal RNA", at positions 35 to 154 of the family's 154-position model. The record is from RNAcentral.
GAUGAAGAACGUAGCGAAAUGCGAUACUUGGUGUGAAUUGCAGAAUCCCGUGAACCAUCGAGUCUUUGAACGCAAGUUGCGCCCGAAGCCAUUAGGCCGAGGGCACGCCUGCCUGGGCGUCACACGUCGUUGCCCCCCCCAUCUACUCCUUCGGGAUUGCGGGGGGCGGAUGAUGGCCUCCCGUGCGCCUCGCCGCGCGGUUGGCAUAAAUGCCAAGUCCUCGGCGACGCACGCCACGACAAUCGGUGGUUGCGAAACCUCGGUUGCCCGUCGUGUGCGGUCGUCGCGCAUCGAGGGCUCGAAAAAAUUGCCGAGUUCCGGCUCGGCUUUCAACGCGACCCCAGGUCAGGCGGGGUUACCCGCUGAAUUUAAGCAUAUCAAUAAGCGGAGAA